This 2179-nucleotide long non-coding RNA is filed under the name Olea europaea subsp. europaea. Lineage: Eukaryota; Viridiplantae; Streptophyta; Magnoliopsida; Lamiales; Oleaceae. The record is from RNAcentral.
GGAUUAUCAAAGGAACCACAAUAAGUUCAUUAAGGCCAACAGUAUUCCCCAACUCUCUGUGCACAAGAAUUGUUUCCUAAAAAUAACAAGGGCAACGAGCUAAGGAUAUACCAACAUGCUAAAAAUGUUAAUUUACAAAGGCGCAAAAUAUCAAUGAAAAUAUUGCCAUUGCCAUUGCAUUGCAGGCUGAUCUAUUUUUGAGUCCAAAACUAUGUACUUCGCCUUUCUAUCUUGUCCAAACCAGAUGCACCAUAUUUAGUACCCGAAGAAAUUUCAUAAGAAAUGCAGCAAACGAAUUCUCCAGAUAUGAAUAUCAUUGAUCCUGAGAAAAUAAAGAUUAAACUACGCAUACUAGAUAAUUACAUAGGAUUGGGAGAAAUGAAAAACAGAGCAAAAGAGAAGAGAGAGCCUGAAGGAAAGCACGGAAUAACAAUAGGAAAAUUGGAACUAUAUAUUGAAUAGCAACCAUACCUCCAGUUGUUGUGCAGCAUUUGAAUGAAUGCCAAUAUUAGUGGACACUCCCUCUAGAGGAGUAUCAGCGUCAUCUUGACCAUUAGUGUACUUUCCACUCCCGCUUGAAUCUUUUGAAUUACAAAGAGCAUCAUCCUGAAUCUAUAGGAAAAAGCUCAACUUAUUAAAGCAGCAUUCAACAUACAAGAGUUGCUUGAUUAUUCAGUUCCUCCUAAUUAAAAUUCGAAGCAGUGAUUCCUUGGAUGAACUCUUGCUGCACAUUAAGAUCAGCCCAGGAUAAAAGCCUGACUAAGAUGUUUAAAAUACAAGCAUGAUAAUAUUGUAAAACAAACUGCUGAGUCUAUACAACAUUGAUCACAUCUCGUCUAUUACUAUACAGUUAAGGAAGAAAAUAUUGAAUUACUUGCAUCAAUAGGAGAAUCUUAGUUAUCAACCGAACCAAAGCAAUGAUUACAAUACAAUUUAAUUUUUCAUAAGACAUAGAAAAGAGUAGCCUGUUCUUUAUUGAUGUCACACCCUCAUAUUCAUCCUAUAUUAUUUCCUUGAAUUUCUUUUCCAAUUACAUUUCAUUUUUGGCUAACAGUUCCACUAAUGUUCUUCAUUCAACCAACAAAUGUUGCAAAUAUGUUUCUUGUGCAUGACAUAAUUACCUGACAUCAGACUAAUCCAUUUCUAAUUCCGUGAGCUAAAUAGAUGAAAAAGAGUUUAUAUCUACAAAAACCCGUCUAUAUGAAAUUUAAGAAACAAUAAAUAAAAUUUACUGCAAGAUCCACAUCCAAGGUACAACCCUAACUUUCUUUUGAAGACUUCUUACAAAAUCUUGCUCCAUAAUCAUUUAAACAAGAAUUGCUUUCUACAUUUAUGAAAGAAACAAAAUUAAAAAGUACUAAUAUGUUGAAAAUUAUUUUACUGACAUAAUCAGUAAAUCAUCUAAUAUCCUGAAAUUCAUUAUACAAAAUAUGAUCCAAUUACAAUGAAUAAACUCAUUUACUGAAGCUCAAACCUAAUUGAGGGUUUAUAUAACAAAUAAAGAAACCUCAUAUGUAGGAAUGAUGAAAUGAAAGUAUUUUUUUAUAUUUUGUUUGCAAUCAAUUCAAUUGAUUAAUAAAUGAAACAUUAUUAUUCAUGAUUAAUAGUACUUGAAGACAGAAUGAAGAAGAGACUCUCCCCCCAUAGUCACCAACAUUUUCAUCUUUAUCAAUUGUAAUCCUAGGGAUAUUUUCAACUGUCAUACCGUGUCAAAAAUAUUCUGGACCUCUUCAAAUUUGUUGUUUCCACAGCUCCCAUCCGAUUGAAGAAAACGAAAAUCGUUUAGAACAACUAAAAAAUAAAAUUUUGUAAUCCCUAUAUUUUGCGAAUCAAAUAGAAUCACAUUUCACUUUGCACAACACAGCAUAUUCUUUUCCCUCUUUAAGCCCAUAAACUAUGAUUCUCAGAAGAAAUUGGAAACCCAAUUUUUAAUUCAUAAUUUCAUAUUCCUAAGACCCAAACUAAAUCUCAAAUUCAGCAUAAGAGAACAACAACCAAAUCAAGCUAAAAUCCAACUCAACUUUUCCCAAUAAAGUGCAAUCUAAAUUAAAACAUGUACAUUCAAGAAACUAAACAAUUAUACCACUAAACUACAUUAAACCUAAGAUAAAAUACAGCGAAACCCAAAAUCAGCAUAGUAGUUGAACAAGUAGAAACAUAAUAAUACUUCACUAAAAAC